GCUGGCGGCAUGCCUAACACAUGCAAGUCGAACGGAAACGAUGGGAGCUUGCUCCCAGGCGUCGAGUGGCGGACGGGUGAGUAAUACUUAGGAAUCUGCCCAUUAGUGGGGGACAACAUUCGGAAACGGAUGCUAAUACCGCAUACGCCCUACGGGGGAAAGCGGGGGAUCUUCGGACCUCGCGCUAAUGGAUGAGCCUAAGUCGGAUUAGCUUGUUGGUGAGGUAACGGCUCACCAAGGCGACGAUCCGUAGCUGGUCUGAGAGGACGAUCAGCCACACUGGGACUGAGACACGGCCCAGACUCCUACGGGAGGCAGCAGUGGGGAAUAUUGGACAAUGGGCGCAAGCCUGAUCCAGCAAUGCCGCGUGUGUGAAGAAGGCCUGCGGGUUGUAAAGCACUUUCAGUAGAGAAGAAAAGCCUAGGGUUAAUAACCCUGAGUCUUGACGUA
Molecule: ribosomal RNA, 450 nt
Filed under: uncultured Gammaproteobacteria bacterium
Lineage: Bacteria; Pseudomonadati; Pseudomonadota; Gammaproteobacteria
Description: bacterial SSU rRNA
Rfam family: Bacterial small subunit ribosomal RNA
Source: RNAcentral